RNAcentral lists this ribosomal RNA (431 nucleotides) under Klebsiella pneumoniae. RNAcentral's name for it is "bacterial LSU rRNA". It matches the Rfam family "Bacterial large subunit ribosomal RNA", at positions 1 to 462 of the family's 2925-position model. Lineage: Bacteria; Pseudomonadati; Pseudomonadota; Gammaproteobacteria; Enterobacterales; Enterobacteriaceae. The record is from RNAcentral.
GGGUUGUGAGGUUAAGCGACUAAGCGUACACGGUGGAUGCCCUGGCAGUCAGAGGCGAUGAAGGACGUGCUAAUCUGCGAAAAGCGUCGGUAAGGUGAUAUGAACCGUUAUAGCCGGCGAUGUCCGAAUGGGGAAACCCAGUGCAAUUCGUUGCACUAUCGUUAACUGAAUACAUAGGUUAACGAGGCGAACCGGGGGAACUGAAACAUCUAAGUACCCCGAGGAAAAGAAAUCAACCGAGAUUCCCCCAGUAGCGGCGAGCGAACGGGGAGCAGCCCAGAGUCUGAAUCAGCUUGUGUGUUAGUGGAACGGUCUGGAAAGUCCGACGGUACAGGGUGAUAGUCCCGUACACCAAAAUGCACAGGUUGUGAACUCGAAGAGUAGGGCGGGACACGUGGUAUCCUGUCUGAAUAUGGGGGGACCAUCCUCCA